CCUACGUGUGGCUGCAGUGGGGAAUAUUGCACAAUGGGCGCAAGCCUGAUGCAGCCAUGCCGCGUGUGUGAAGAAGGCCUUCGGGUUGUAAAGCACUUUCAGCGGGGAGGAAGGCGUUAAGGUUAAUAACCUUGUCGAUUGACGUUACCCGCAGAAGAAGCACCGGCUAACUCCGUGCCAGCAGCCGCGGUAAUACGGAGGGUGCAAGCGUGAAUCGGAAUUACUGGGCGUAAAGCGCACGCAGGCGGUCUGUCAAGUCGGAUGUGAAAUCCCCGGGCUCAACCUGGGAACUGCAUUCGAAACUGGCAGGCUAGAGUCUUGUAGAGGGGGGUAGAAUUCCAGGUGUAGCGGUGAAAUGCGUAGAGAUCUGGAGGAAUACCGGUGGCGAAGGCGGCCCCCUGGACAAAGACUGACGCUCAGGUGCGAAAGCGUGGGGAGCAAACAGGAUUAGAUACCCCUGUAGUC
This 465-nucleotide ribosomal RNA is filed under the name uncultured Klebsiella sp. RNAcentral's name for it is "bacterial SSU rRNA". It matches the Rfam family "Bacterial small subunit ribosomal RNA", at positions 338 to 795 of the family's 1533-position model. The record is from RNAcentral. Lineage: Bacteria; Pseudomonadati; Pseudomonadota; Gammaproteobacteria; Enterobacterales; Enterobacteriaceae.